Long non-coding RNA from Balaenoptera musculus (blue whale), 3900 nucleotides. NCBI's taxonomy places the organism in Eukaryota, Metazoa, Chordata, Mammalia, Artiodactyla, Balaenopteridae. The record is from Ensembl.
AUGAAAAGUGAUCAUGCAAAAAUUAUAUUCAUGUAAUAGACACCAAACUAGGGAAAUUUGGCAAUUUCAGUGGCAUAUUUUAGUCAAGGUACACAGAUGGCAAUGCCAUAAGCAAGUCUAUAAAUAUCUGCUGCAGCCACCUCCCUCAUUUUAAAUGUUACCCUAAUAAGCAACACAGUUAGCAAGCAUAUUGGCUAAGAGUCAUGAAAUAGCUCAUGUCCAGAUGGGAAUUAUAGGUUACUGUGUGGUUUAUGGGGAUUAAUGGAAAAAUGAAUUCCGAAAAACAGCAAGUCUUCUUAGAAAUCCUUCAUGUUUAUGGUAAAUAAUAGUGCAACUAGGUCAUUUUAUUUGAAAUUCAAGAGUCAAGUGGAAAGAUUCCCCUAAUGAUAUAUCUAUUUCACUAACUUGUCUUUCUGUUUAUUGGGUUUUGAUUUUUUUUUUAAGCCAGUCAGGUUAUUUAAUGUUGAGGUAAUAUUCAAAUUUGAGAAGUUGUGACAUGUAGCAAUCCAAGAAACAAAAAAGGUCUUUUGCUGUUACCUCAGUUCUUAUUAUAGUGGCCUAUUUGGUGCCUCUAUAGUUAAGAAUCAGGGUUUUCCCCCCUAUUUUCAGGGGUUCAUGACUUGGCUGUUAGAGAUGUUGCUCCUGGCUAAUGCUGGGAGUGGUCUGUGGGUGAGUGGAUGUGUGCUGAAUUUUGGUUUUCUUUUAACAGGCACGUUGGGGUGGGAGGGAGAAAAAAUCUAAACUGUCCACCACAUUGACUACAGAAAAAGUAAUUGGAGAUUUCAGAUAAAUUUGAUUUUAAACACUUUUUUGGACUUCCUAAAUACAACCUUGUUUAAAACUUUUAUUUGCCGUCUUGUUAGUUAUGAGCCAGUGUUUUUAAGUCCCCAAGUGGGCGAUGACUAGGGGAGGUACCUAAAGAUGAAGCAAGCCCAGACCUUAAGAUUAUAGCUAUGUGAUUUUGAAACCUGGGUUUAAUCCUCAAAUUGAAUUACUUUUAAUUUUGAAAAGAGUACAUUGGCACACCUGCACCUCCCCCUUCCAGUUUAUUACAAUCUAAUGCCAAGAGGCACCUCUUUAUUAAUUACCAAAUAGUCUGUGUGACCAAGGACUAACAUUUUUAAGUUACUCAGCUCUAUCCUCAUGGGCCUAUAUAUUUAAUACCUCCAAAGAUACUUUAAGGAUAGGCUUUGUAUACUUUUGUUGGUUAUUUAGAGUCCUGUGGUAUGUUUGUGGUAUAGGAAUGUCAUGGUAAAUUGUUUUUCAAUAAAUAUUUUGAAACUUAUGUUUUCAUAUGAAGUUUUUUUUUUUAAUCUAUAUUUUUGGUUUUGUGCACAUAUAGCAUUUCCUAGGAUAAAAUCAAGCAAAUGACUUAAGGCCUCAUCUUCUCUAAUUCAGUUUGAACUCAACUUAGCUCACACUCAGUGAUAAAACAACAUGAUAUUUAGAAGCCUAGGUUCACAGGGUGAUAAUAUUAAAUGGCAGCCAGUUUUUCUUAAAAAAAAAAAAGUCAUUAUUGGUAGUUCCCCCUUAUUGCCACUGCUUUAAUGUAGUUUUCUGUAAAUCCAUAUACUUUGACUUAAUGCAGACACUCUAGGUUGAGAAGAGAGAUUGCCAGUUUCUGUUAGUGAUGUAACUUAAUGUGCUGUUGUUUCUGGUUUUAAUGAAGAAUAAUACCCUAAUUUUUAAGUGUGGGAUUUAUCCUUUCAGUUAGGGAUGUUUAGGAUAAGUUAGGGAGGUAAAUAUCAUCAUGAUUUUUGGGGUUAGAAAAAAUCUCAAAAGAAUAAAAUUACCUCACAAUAGCCAAUUGCUUGAACAAACUUUUUAUAUAUGGUGGGGUUGUGUGUAAGAAAUCCUAGACCAACUUAAAAGAUUUUUCUGGAAGUUCAGCAAAGUAAUAUUAAAUAAGGGGCCUUUGGUCUCAUCCUUUCCUGGCUUUCAAUGUUUCUCUCUUACCCAGUUUUUUUCCUAAAGUUUGGUGCUACUCAAGUUGGGUGCAUCAGGGAGCCCUGUAACAUUCGUGAGCCACACAGGUGGUCGGUCACUCCAGCGUUCAGUUUAGGAGAGCGGGUUGGGUUUUUUAGACCAUAAUUUUUAUGGGUCCCCAAAGCUGACUUUGCCCAACGCAUUAGGACCCUUAUUAUCGUCAAAUUUCUGUCUCUGUUCAGCAAAAAAUGAACUCAUUAUUGCUUUGGGGUAAUCCCCACACAGGUGUGCUUUCACUUGUGAAAAUGAAAGAUUUGACAAAGACCUUUGUUCUUAGCCUGUUAGAGAAGGGUUCAUAAUAUUGUGGAAACUAGGUCCAGUGGCUGCAAUCAUAAAUAACGAGAGUGCCAUUUGGCGGCUUAUAGUGCAGACAGAAUGCUGAACAGUAAACACAUGCCUAGAACAUGAUUGAAGCUUUUGGCCAUACUUUACAGAUUGAAAGAAUGGUUUGCUGAGUAGCAGGUAGAGGCUUUCACUGCUAUCCGAAAGUAGAGCGUUCCCAUGAAACCUCUUUAAGCCAAAAACAGGUGAACAGCAGAGAGGCAGUUACCUUAGGACAUGUCUUGCUAAUGGAUGCACAAAAUAAAUUGAGAUAAAGCACAGAAACUCGCACAGUUGUGGCUUGAAGCUGAGAUACUGAGCGUAGUUCUAGGGGAGGAGCUUGGCAGUGCCACUCUUGGUCAGGGUGCCACUGCCUCUGUUAACAGCUGUCUGCAAAACAAGCACUGAAUGCUAUUUUUGCUUUUCACCUUUUUUCGUAAAAGUGAAGAUCCUUUUGGAUUUUUUUCGGUUAACGAAAACAGGUGCUAAUGUAGGUCUUUCAUAAAAGCAAAGUACCAUAAAGUGAACUUUCAGAACGCAGAGGAUACCUGUAUUAACUGCUACUCAGUUUUGUUGUUUUUUUUCCCCUGAAUUUGUAGCCUUGCUGCUUCCAAACUGUUCUUUUUCUGGAUGGCAAAGUUACUACUGGAAAAAUACUUAUUUAUAAGUAAAAACGUCUUUAAGAGUUUUAUUUUUGCUUUAAGAAUUAACAUGUAUAUUUCACCUCUUGGCUUUGGAGGACCUCAGUUCUUGCUAGAAAAUUCCUUUUUUUAUCUGACAUUUGAAUUAAUCUCCAGCUUGAACACUAGUAGUUGUAUUGUCCACAAAUCUCAGGAAUGUUUGAGGCAGAAAACUGGUUUUACCCUGUUGGUGAUCUGAAGGAGUGUGCUUUGGCAUUUUUAAAAAUAAUGCUAUUCUUUAAUUACAGUCCUAGGCAUCUAUAGCAUGAGUGGCCUUAGUGAGUUUUUUGAAGUGCACAUUUUUUUUCAAAAGUAAAAUUUAAGAUUAAAAAUAUAUGCUAUAUAUAGGUAUCUAGAAACCUUGGUUUGUGGUGCACAAGUGUUGGAUCACUAAAUAACUUUGCAGGUACCAUUUGUGUAACAUUACUCAUUUCUGUAGAUUUCUUUUAUGGGAAGAUAUGUUGCCAUGGUAACUAAAACUUUUCAAUUUAGUUCCACUUUUAUGAUGUGAAUGAAUGCUAUGUUUUAUUAAAUAUUACCAGGUCAGUACUAUUUUUAUACUUUACUAAGCAACAGGGGAUUUUAGUUUAAUAGACUCAAAAAUCUCUUAAUGAAACAAUUAAAAGCAAAUCAUUAUCAAUUCUUUACAUGAAAAUCCCCACUAAUAGUGCCACAGUAAUUUCUAUAGAAAUAUCUAAGGUCAUUGAUAGAUUUUUUAAAGGCAAUUAAUUCUUCAUUGUGUCAGAAUGACCUUUCGUGUCAUCCUUAUCACAAACUUGUAGUGCCCACCAUUAUUUGUAACCAUUAAACCAUACUAAGUAUGUUUGUAACCAGCAUUGUGAUAUAUUCUGUACUUGUAUUGCUAAAAAUGAAUUAUUGACUUAAUAAAUAUAGUGUUCCUGCAUUCAUAGUG